GGUGACCGGUGGUGGAGGGUGGGGGAGUGAGAAUGCAGGCAUGAGUAGCGACAAGGCAAGUGAGAACCUUGCCCGCCGAAAGACCAAGGGUUCCUGGGCCAGGCCAGUCCGCCCAGGGUGAGUCGGGACCUAAGGCGAGGCCGACAGGCGUAGUCGAUGGACAACGGGUUGAUAUUCCCGUACCCGUGUGUGGGCGCCCGUGACGAAUCAGCGGUACUAACCACCCAAAACCGGAUCGAUCACUCCCCUUCGGGGGUGUGGAGUUCUGGGGCUGCGUGGGAACUUCGCUGGUAGUAGUCAAGCGAAGGGGUGACGCAGGAAGGUAGCCGUACCAGUCAGUGGUAACACUGGGGCAAGCCGGUAGGGAGAGCGAUAGGCAAAUCCGUCGCUCACUAAUCCUGAGAGGUGACGCAUAGCCGGUUGAGGCGAAUUCGGUGAUCCUCUGCUGCCAAGAAAAGCCUCUAGCGAGCACACACACGGCCCGUACCCCAAACCGACACAGGUGGUCAGGUAGAGCAUACCAAGGCGUACGAGAUAACUAUGGUUAAGGAACUCGGCAAAAUGCCCCCGUAACUUCGGGAGAAGGGGGACCGGAAUAUCGUGAACACCCUUGCGGUGGGAGCGGGAUCCGGUCGCAGAAACCAGUGAGGAGCGACUGUUUACUAAAAACACAGGUCCGUGCGAAGUCGCAAGACGAUGUAUACGGACUGACGCCUGCCCGGUGCUGGAAGGUUAAGAGGACCCGUUAACCCGCAAGGGUGAAGCGGAGAAUUUAAGCCCCAGUAAACGGCGGUGGUAACUAUAACCAUCCUAAGGUAGCGAAAUUCCUUGUCGGGUAAGUUCCGACCUGCACGAAUGGCGUAACGACUUCUCAACUGUCUCAACCAUAGACUCGGCGAAAUUGCACUACGAGUAAAGAUGCUCGUUACGCGCGGCAGGACGAAAAGACCCCGGGACCUUCACUACAACUUGGUAUUGAUGUUCGGUACGGUUUGUGUAGGAUAGGUGGGAGACUGUGAAACCUCGACGCCAGUUGGGGCGGAGUCAUUGUUGAAAUACCACUCUGAUCGUAUUGGGCAUCUAACCUCGAACCCUGAAUCGGGUUUAGGGACAGUGCCUGGCGGGUAGUUUAACUGGGGCGGUUGCCUCCUAAAAUGUAACGGAGGCGCCCAAAGGUUCCCUCAACCUGGACGGCAAUCAGGUGGCGAGUGUAAAUGCACAAGGGAGCUUGACUGCGAGACUUACAAGUCAAGCAGGGACGAAAGUCGGGAUUAGUGAUCCGGCACCCCCGAGUGGAAGGGGUGUCGCUCAACGGAUAAAAGGUACCCCGGGGAUAACAGGCUGAUCUUCCCCAAGAGUCCAUAUCGACGGGAUGGUUUGGCACCUCGAUGUCGGCUCGUCGCAUCCUGGGGCUGGAGCAGGUCCCAAGGGUUGGGCUGUUCGCCCAUUAAAGCGGCACGCGAGCUGGGUUUAGAACGUCGUGAGACAGUUCGGUCUCUAUCCGCCGCGCGCGUCAGAAACUUGAGGAAACCUGUCCCUAGUACGAGAGGACCGGGACGGACGAACCUCUGGUGCACCAGUUGUCCCGCCAGGGGCACCGCUGGAUAGCCACGUUCGGUCAGGAUAACCGCUGAAAGCAUCUAAGCGGGAAACCUUCUCCAAGAUCAGGUUUCUCACCCACUUGGUGGGAUAAGGCCCCCCGCAGAACACGGGUUCAAUAGGUCAGACCUGGAAGCUCAGUAAUGGGUGUAGGGAACUGGUGCUAACCGGCCGAAAACUUACAACACCC
RNAcentral lists this ribosomal RNA (1789 nucleotides) under Mycobacterium tuberculosis. RNAcentral's name for it is "bacterial LSU rRNA". It matches the Rfam family "Bacterial large subunit ribosomal RNA", at positions 1262 to 2925 of the family's 2925-position model. The record is from RNAcentral. Lineage: Bacteria; Bacillati; Actinomycetota; Actinomycetes; Mycobacteriales; Mycobacteriaceae.